RNAcentral lists this non-coding RNA (878 nucleotides) under Adelophryne patamona. The record is from RNAcentral. Lineage: Eukaryota; Metazoa; Chordata; Amphibia; Anura; Eleutherodactylidae.
ACCUAGUCCUAACCUUGGAGUCAAUUCUUACUUAACUUACACAUGCAAGUCUCCGCACCCCUGUGAAAACGCCCUCAACUCCUUUUUUAGGGUUGAUGGAGCAGGUAUCAGACUAAAUUAUUUAUCGAAAACACCUAGCCUCGCCACACCCAUAAGGGCCCUUGCAGCAGUGAUUAACAUUGAAUAUAAGCGACAGCUUGAUUCAGUUAAAGUAUAAUGAGCUGGCAAAGCUAGUGCCAGUCGCCUCGGUUAAACUACAUCAGCUCAAAUUGACCCCCACUCGGCGUAAAGCGUGAUCAAAUCUCACCCCCGUAUCCCCUAGAGUUAAAACCUAACAACUGUUUAACUAACAAACCCCCCCACGAAAGUCACUCUACCCCCACAACUUGAACUCACGACAACUAGGGCCCAAACUGGGAUUAGAUACCCCAUUAUGCCUAGUCGUAAACUAUAACUUACACCAUAAUCGCCCGGGAACUACGAGCAAAGCUUAAAACCCAAGGGACUUGACGGUGCCCCACAGCCCCUAGAGGAGCCUGUCCUACAAUUGAUGAUCCGCGUUAAACCUCACCAUUUCUAGUUUUUCAACUGGUAUACCUCCGUCGUCAGCUGUCCCUCUGAAUGUAACAAAGCGAAGCCCCACGUCUAAAGUAUAACAGAUCUUAUUUUCUAAAAACCACACAUUUAAGGUAUAACAGAUUUUAUUUUCUAAGACCACACGUCAGGUCAAGGUGCCGUCAAUGAAAUGGGAAGAGAUGGGCUACACUUUCUAACAUAGAAAAACGGAAGACAAUAUGAAAUUUAUGUCAUAAGACGGAUUUAGGAGUAAAAUAACUAUAGAAUGGUUUUUUUAAUCUAUUAUUGGGGUCGCGUACUCA